This 253-nucleotide ribosomal RNA is filed under the name uncultured bacterium. RNAcentral describes it as "partial 16S ribosomal RNA". It matches the Rfam family "Bacterial small subunit ribosomal RNA", at positions 524 to 776 of the family's 1533-position model. The record is from RNAcentral.
UACGUAGGGUGCAAGCGUUGUCCGGAAUUAUUGGGCGUAAAGAGCUCGUAGGCGGCUUGUCGCGUCGGCUGUGAAAACCUGGGGCUCAACCCUGGGCCUGCAGCCGAUACGGGCAAGCUAGAAUUCGGUAGGGGAGACUGGAAUUCCUGGUGUAGCGGUGAAAUGCGCAGAUAUCAGGAGGAACACCCGUGGCGAAAGCGGCUCUCUGGGACGGUACUGACGCUGAGACGCGAAAGCGUGGGGAGCAAACAGG